RNAcentral lists this ribosomal RNA (468 nucleotides) under uncultured bacterium. RNAcentral's name for it is "partial 16S ribosomal RNA". It matches the Rfam family "Bacterial small subunit ribosomal RNA", at positions 28 to 507 of the family's 1533-position model. The record is from RNAcentral.
GACGAACGCUGGCGGCGUGCUUAACACAUGCAAGUCGAACGGAAAGGCCCUGCUUUUGUGGGGUGCUCGAGUGGCGAACGGGUGAGUAACACGUGAGUAACCUGCCCUUGACUUUGGGAUAACUUCAGGAAACUGGGGCUAAUACCGGAUAGGAGCUCCUGCUGCAUGGUGGGGGUUGGAAAGUUUCGGCGGUUGGGUAUGGACUCGCGGCUUAUCAGCUUGUUGGUGGGGUAGUGGCUUACCAAGGCUUUGACGGGUAGCCGGCCUGAGAGGGUGACCGGCCACAUUGGGCCUGAGAUACGGCCCAGACUCCUACGGGCGGCAGCAGUGGGGAAUAUUGCACAAUGGGCGGAAGCCUGAUGCAGCAACGCCGCGUGCGGGAUGACGGCCUUCGGGUUGUAAACCGCUUUCGCCUGUGACGAAGCGUGAGUGACGGUAAUGGGUAAAGAAGCACCGGCUAACUACGUG